RNAcentral lists this ribosomal RNA (482 nucleotides) under uncultured bacterium. Its description in RNAcentral is "partial 16S ribosomal RNA". It matches the Rfam family "Bacterial small subunit ribosomal RNA", at positions 28 to 523 of the family's 1533-position model. The record is from RNAcentral.
GACGAACGCUCGCGGCGUGCUUAACACAUGCAAGUCGAACGAGGCCCCCCCUUCGGGCGGGUGACCUAGUGGCGAACGGGUGAGUAACACGUGGGCAACCUGCCCCCGGCUCUGGGCUAACCCCCAGACAUUGGGGCUACUACCGGAUAUGACCGCUGAACGCAUGGUAGGUGGCGGAAAGUUUUUUCGGCUGGGGAUGGGCCCGAGGCCUAUCAGCUUGUUGGUGGGGUAGUGGCCUACCAAGGCGACGACGGGUAGCCGGCCUGAGAGGGUGACCGGCCACACUGGGACUGAGACACGGCCCAGACUCCGACGGGAGGCAGCAGUGGGGAAUAUUGCGCAAUGGGCGGAAGCCUGACGCAGCGACGCCGCGUGGGGGAUGACGGCCUUCGGGUUGUAAACCUCUUUCAGCAGGGACGAAGCGAAAGUGACGGUACCUGCAGAAGAAGCACCGGCCAACUACGUGCCAGCCGCCGCCGUAA